Molecule: unclassified non-coding RNA, 244 nt
Filed under: uncultured fungus
Lineage: Eukaryota; Fungi
Description: sequence contains ITS1
Source: RNAcentral
GUAUUAUGAUUAAAGGCCUUGCGGCGCAAAACACGUUCGGCAUUGCUAACAGCGUAUAAUAAUUUUAAGAGAAUGCAAGGAAAUCACACACACAAGUGGCAAUCAACUCGAAAAUCCCUCAAAAAUGUGCACAGGUGUUUGGAAGAUGAUUGUUAGGGCGAGCACAUGCAUCCAUAAAUCGGAUACCAGCAUCAAACCCCAUCACAACUCAUUAAUGAUCCUUCCGCAGGUUCACCUACGGAAA